GACAAAAGUAGAUUAUGUAUAUGGAUUUCAUUGGGUGGGGAAUUCAAAAGUGGGUUGAACAAUCAAAAAUUUAAAAUCAACUUGAAAACUUGUGGCUGGCUGGCUGCAUCAUCCAGAAUUCAGAAAUAAAGGCAUUGAGCUGCAAGGCUUCACUAAAAAGAAACAAGAACAACAAGGAGUUGAACCCUUGCAGGCAACAAUUUAGAUUAUAGUUUAACUUCUUGGAGUCCAUGCACAUAUAUUGAUUGACUAAAAUUUUAAAUUGUUGCUUGGUGACAACAUAAAAAAGGGAUGCUGAGGAAAUGCUAAAAUUUUAUUGGAAGAUAAAUUUGGCAACAAAAUUUAAACUAUGCUGCAUUUUGCAAAAGAGAGA
This 373-nucleotide unclassified non-coding RNA is filed under the name Hevea brasiliensis (rubber tree). Lineage: Eukaryota; Viridiplantae; Streptophyta; Magnoliopsida; Malpighiales; Euphorbiaceae. The record is from RNAcentral.